RNAcentral lists this long non-coding RNA (1212 nucleotides) under Daucus carota (carrot). RNAcentral's name for it is "long non-coding RNA (DCAR_LNC006031)". Lineage: Eukaryota; Viridiplantae; Streptophyta; Magnoliopsida; Apiales; Apiaceae. The record is from RNAcentral.
UUAUUAUUUCCGAAAAAAAUAAAGCAAAAAAAGGAAAAGAUAAUGAGUAUGGCGGUGAGUUGCCUAUAUAAUAACUCCCCUGUUCUCUUGCAUCCCUCAUCUCCUAAAUAAACCCUAUACCUAAUUUACCUCUAUCAAUAGCCGCCUCUGUAACAAUAAUUCUCUGUUAUAUCACUCCUUCUUGAAUUUCAAUGGCCGUGCUAUGAAAAUGAAAGAAUAUCUUUCUUCUUUCACUAUACACCACCGUAUCUGUAAAGCCAGAACCUCUAUGUCUAACAAUUUGAUCCGAUUUGAAGAAAUUCAAUCUGAUGAGAUUGCCUUUGCAACACAGGUCACACUUCUAUUGAUAUUUUAGUGUCCCGUACUUUCAAUCGAGUCGGUCACGUGUUUACAUGUGAUCGAGGAAAUCUGAUCCCUGGAUUUUUAGGUGGCGUAUUUACCUACACCACUCUCAUAAAGGGACUGAUUUCCCAGGACAUGAAUGCAAUUGUGCAUGUGUAUCGGCUCGGUUGUUGAGUUCUAUGUUCUGCUGGGACCUGAUUGAGUAAAUUGAUAAGAUAGGCGAGGCUGAGUAUUUGUUUAGUGGCUGAGCAUUUAUUUAGGAAGCUUAUCAGAUUUCAAGAAACUCAAUCAGACAAUUUGAUCUGAGAGGCUGAGCUUAUGUUCAAAAACUGAACAUUUGUUCAGACGCUUAUCAGAUUUCGAGAAAUUUAAUCAUAUGAUUUGAUCCGAGAGGCUGAGCUUAUGUUCAAAAACUGAACAUUUGUUCAGACGCUUAUCAGAUUUCAAGAAAUACAGACGGCGGCAAAUUGAAAGAAGAAGAGGCUGAGCUUUUGUUCAAAUACCGAAUAUUUGUUAAAGUACAUGUCAGAUAUUCAGGCUGAGUUUGUUCAGAUGCUGGAUUUUUAUUUUUGUAUUAGCUAGAUUUGUUUAUGUUUGUUCCUUGUAAUAUAGAUUAUUAUUGAAACAAGUAAUGAUAUUUUUUUUUUGCUCGGGCUGGUUUUGUCUUGCUGGGUUUAAUAUCAAUGUUGUGAUAAUUAAGCUUUUGUUCAUUUUUGUUCUGGUAUUCUCGAGAUUUUGAUACAAAUGAGCAGCAGAUUUUUGUUUCCAGCUUGAUAAAGUUCUGUAGCAGCACCAAUUUGUGUCAAUUCUUGAGCCCCUAGCAUCUGCAAACUAUAGUCGUACUUGUAUACUCUCGCCGCUAAAUUUUUC